UGGGAACAAGCUGAUUAGCAUUUCAUUUACACUGAAACGGUACUUGUGGAUACAAGGUUCCUGA
This 64-nucleotide transfer RNA is filed under the name Eochionelasmus coreana. RNAcentral's name for it is "tRNA-Val". Lineage: Eukaryota; Metazoa; Arthropoda; Thecostraca; Balanomorpha; Pachylasmatidae. The record is from RNAcentral.